RNAcentral lists this ribosomal RNA (114 nucleotides) under Massilia sp. KIM. Its description in RNAcentral is "partial 16S ribosomal RNA". It matches the Rfam family "Bacterial small subunit ribosomal RNA", at positions 1 to 108 of the family's 1533-position model. Lineage: Bacteria; Pseudomonadati; Pseudomonadota; Betaproteobacteria; Burkholderiales; Oxalobacteraceae. The record is from RNAcentral.
AGAGAUUGAACUGAAGAGUUUGAUCCUGGCUCAGAUUGAACGCUGGCGGCAUGCUUUACACAUGCAAGUCGAACGGCAGCGCGGGGCAACCUGGCGGCGAGUGGCGAACGGGUG